GACAGAGGUGCCAAGCGUUAGGCGGAAUCACUGGGCCUAAAGCGUGUGUAGGCGGGUGGCUAAGUACCUUGUGAAAUCCCCCGGCUCAACCGGGGAACGGCUGGGUAUACUGGGUGCCUUGGGUCAUCUAGGGGCUGCCGGAACAAAUGGUGGAGCGGUGAAAUGCGUAGAUAUCAUUUGGAACGCCAACGGCGAAAGCAGGCAGCUGGGGAUGCACCGACGCUGAGACACGAAAGCCAGGGGAGCGAACGGG
This 253-nucleotide ribosomal RNA is filed under the name uncultured bacterium. RNAcentral describes it as "partial 16S ribosomal RNA". It matches the Rfam family "Bacterial small subunit ribosomal RNA", at positions 524 to 776 of the family's 1533-position model. The record is from RNAcentral.